GGCCUGUCCACAUAAUACUUUAUCACAGGUUGGUCCAUGUAACACUGUAUCACAGGCCUGUCCACAUAAUACUUUAUCACAGGUUGGUCCAUGUAACACUGUAUCACAGGCCUGUCCACAUAAUACUUUAUCACAGGUUGGUCCAUGUAAUACUGUAUCACAGGCCUGUCCACAUAAUACUUUAUCACAGGUCUGUCCAUGUAACACUGUAUCACAGGCCUGUCCACGUAAUACUUUAUCACAGGUCGGUCCAUGUAAUACUGUAUCACAGGCCUGUCCACGUAAUACUUUAUCACAGGUGUGUCCAUGUAAUACUGUAUCACAGGCCUGUCCACGUAAUACUUUAUCACAGGUGUGUCCAUGUAAUACUGUAUCACAGGCCUGUCCACUUAAUACUGUCACAGGCCUGUCCACUUAAUACUGUCACAGGUCUGUCCAUGUAAUACUGUAUCACAGGUCUGUCCAUGUAAUACUGUAUCACAGGCCUGUCCACUUAAUACUGUCACAGGCCUGUCCACGUAAUACUGUCACAGGUCUGUCCAUGUAAUAAUGUCACAGGUCUGUCCAUGUAAUACUAUCACAGGUCUGUCCAUGUAAGACUGUCACAGGUCUGUCCAUGUAAUACUGUCUCAGGUCUGUCCAUGUAAGACGGUCACAGGUCUGUCCAUGUAAUACUGUAUCACAGGUCGGUCCAUGUAACACUGUAUCACAGGUCUGUCCAUGUAACACUGUAUCACAGGUCUGUCCAUGUAAUACUGUAUCACAGGUCUGUCCAUGUAACACUGUAUCACGGGUCUGUCCAUGUAAUACUGUAUCACAGGUCUGUCCAUGUAAUACUAUAUAUCACAGGUCUGUCCAUGUAAUACUAUAUAUCACAGGUCUGACCAUGUAAUAAGCAGGGAGUCAGUGGAUAGAAGGGGAGACGAGAGAAGACCGGAGAAUGAUUGGAAGACAGAACAGGGUGGUGAUGUCAUUACAACCUGAACGGCAGUUCCUUCUAAGAAGCUCUAGUGUGUACUGUAGUAGAAGGGAUUCUUAUCUCCCCCUUACCUCACGUUCAGUGUCUCCCCACCCCUCUCCUUGCCCCCCCCCCCCUUUCCCUCUCCCUUUCUCUUUCUUUCUCCCUGCUUGGGAGGUGAAAGGAGCUCAGGCUGUAGAUGAAUAAAUGAGUGAGUGUGUGAGGAGACUACUGGCUGAGGACAUCAUGGUGAUGUGUUUUC
Long non-coding RNA from Esox lucius (northern pike), 1220 nucleotides. Lineage: Eukaryota; Metazoa; Chordata; Actinopteri; Esociformes; Esocidae. The record is from Ensembl.